AUGAUUAGGGUGAAGUCGUAACAAGGUAGCCGUAGGAGAACCUGCGGCUGGAUCACCUCCUUUCUAAGGAAUA
This 73-nucleotide ribosomal RNA is filed under the name Lactiplantibacillus pentosus. RNAcentral's name for it is "Lactobacillus pentosus partial 16S ribosomal RNA". The stretch from base 1 to 63 matches the Rfam family "Bacterial small subunit ribosomal RNA", at positions 1471 to 1533 of the family's 1533-position model. Lineage: Bacteria; Bacillati; Bacillota; Bacilli; Lactobacillales; Lactobacillaceae. The record is from RNAcentral. RNAcentral also lists the same sequence under 1 other name.